This 524-nucleotide ribosomal RNA is filed under the name uncultured bacterium. RNAcentral describes it as "bacterial SSU rRNA". It matches the Rfam family "Bacterial small subunit ribosomal RNA", at positions 368 to 884 of the family's 1533-position model. The record is from RNAcentral.
ACAAUGGGCGCAAGCCUGAUGCAGCCAUGCCGCGUGUAUGAAGAAGGCCUUCGGGUUGUAAAGUACUUUCAGCGAGGAGGAAGGCGUUAAGGUUAAUAACCUUAGCGAUUGACGUUACUCGCAGAAGAAGCACCGGCUAACUCCGUGCCAGCAGCCGCGGUAAUACGGAGAGUGCAAGCGUUAAUCGGAAUUACUGGGCGUAAAGCGCACGCAGGCGGUCUGUCAAGUCGGAUGUGAAAUCCCCGGGCUCAACCUGGGAACUGCAUUCGAAACUGACAGGCUAGAGUCUUGUAGAGGGGGGUAGAAUUCCAGGUGUAGCGGUGAAAUGCGUAGAGAUCUGGAGGAAUACCGGUGGCGAAGGCGGCCCCCUGGACAAAGACUGACGCUCAGGUGCGAAAGCGUGGGGAGCAAACAGGAUUAGAUACCCUGGUAGUCCACGCCGUAAACGAUGUCUAUUUGGAGGUUGUGUCCUUGAGACGUGGCUUCCGGAGCUAACGCGUUAAAUAGACCGCCUGGGGAGUACG